RNAcentral lists this ribosomal RNA (496 nucleotides) under uncultured bacterium. Its description in RNAcentral is "partial 16S ribosomal RNA". It matches the Rfam family "Bacterial small subunit ribosomal RNA", at positions 27 to 507 of the family's 1533-position model. The record is from RNAcentral.
GGACGAACGCUGGCGGCGUGCCUAAUACAUGCAAGUAGAACGCUGAAGGAGGAGCUUGCUUCUCUGGAUGAGUUGCGAACGGGUGAGUAACGCGUAGGUAACCUGCCUGGUAGCGGGGGAUAACUAUUGGAAACGAUAGCUAAUACCGCAUAAGAGUAGAUGUUGCAUGACAUUUGCUUAAAAGGUGCAAUUGCAUCACUACCAGAUGGACCUGCGUUGUAUUAGCUAGUUGGUGGGGUAACGGCUCACCAAGGCGACGAUACAUAGCCGACCUGAGAGGGUGAUCGGCCACACUGGGACUGAGACACGGCCCAGACUCCUACGGGAGGCAGCAGUAGGGAAUCUUCGGCAAUGGACGGAAGUCUGACCGAGCAACGCCGCGUGAGUGAAGAAGGUUUUCGGAUCGUAAAGCUCUGUUGUAAGAGAAGAACGAGUGUGAGAGUGGAAAGUUCACACUGUGACGGUAUCUUACCAGAAAGGGACGGCUAACUACGUG